CCUAUAGUUUUGUCUCAGGUUUUCAAGAAAUUGUUGCCAUUUUUGUAGAAUGAAUUGUCCUUUAAUGUUUUUGUUGUUGGGGUGAAAUAGUGGUAAUAGACUGGAGAGAAAUAUAAUGAUUGUGUAUAAAAAUAAGUCAUUCCUUUUAUAGCUUACAUGUGCUGGCUCUGUGUUUGCCCCUAAUACUGGUACAUUUGUCUUAGUGUUCAUUUUUGUCGAGAAUAAGCGUUGUAUUGUUCAGAGUAAAGCCUGUAUGUUUCUAGAAAUAUCCUUAUUUGAAUUACAUAUUGACUUUAAGAAAUAUCUCAAUUUUAUUACCAUCAAAUUUUUUCAUUCUUAGCCCACAUAGCCCAAAGGGGCAGUAUGCCAUCUUCUGUGAAACUUGGACAACCGUUUUGAAUACAAAGAUUUCUGGAAAUAUGAGUGAUAUAAUUUUUACAUUAAAAAGAUGUCUGCAAAAUAUGAAUGGUGUGGUUUUGUCCCUUAGACUUUCUGAAAUAUCAGUGUCAAAUAUUUUCUCAAUUACAUGUACUGUGAUUUUUGCUACCAAGAAAUAUACAUUCCUGUUUCAUUUUGUUAAGGAACCAUAUGUGUAUUGCAUUAUAUUUUCAAGUUAUUUUAUUGCCAGACAGGUUUUUAAAUGGCUAACUAGUUGAUUCUUUUCUUUUCUUAUAGAUGAAUAACUAACAACAUGAUUGUCUUCAUAAUUCUGAAUAUUAUCUCACUCAAUUUUGGACCCAAUUUUGGUCAUGACUGAUAAAUAUGACCUCUUUGAACUCAAUUGUAAUUGUAUUGUUUUGAGAUGUCCUUUAAAAUUUUAUAUACAAUUUCUAUAUAAUUUUUAUAGCUUUAAACAUCACCAUAUCAUUUAGUAUUUG
This 878-nucleotide long non-coding RNA is filed under the name Mytilus galloprovincialis (Mediterranean mussel). Lineage: Eukaryota; Metazoa; Mollusca; Bivalvia; Mytilida; Mytilidae. The record is from RNAcentral.